CAGGAUAUAGCUCAGUGGUAGAGUACUUGCUUAACAUGCAGGAGGCCCUGGGUUAGAUACCCAGUGCUUUCA
This 72-nucleotide transfer RNA is filed under the name Cavia porcellus (domestic guinea pig). It matches the Rfam family "tRNA". From Rfam's summary of the family: Transfer RNA (tRNA) molecules are approximately 80 nucleotides in length. Their secondary structure includes four short double-helical elements and three loops (D, anti-codon, and T loops). Lineage: Eukaryota; Metazoa; Chordata; Mammalia; Rodentia; Caviidae. The record is from Rfam by way of RNAcentral.